AUUUGAUGUUCGGCCAUUGCUGCAGAGAUGCGCCUCCCUGGUGGCACUCGCAUCGUGUAAUAUGCCACCCAAUAGUCAGUUGAAAAUGCAGAUUUCCAGCCGCACUUGCAUAAUCCACACAUGGCACACAGGCGACUCCCCCCGCCUGCCAUUUGCAAGGAGCAGAGCAGGCCGCCGCAUAAACUAAGCUAACAAUUCAACUAAAAUGCCAACCAGAUAAUAAAACUCUCAAAUCGAUGAAGAAGUGGAAGCAUUGGCCUUUGUGAUCGACUGAGUGUGCAAUGGCAAGAUGGAAAAUGGAAAUAAAACUGCGAACACGAAACAGACAGUCAGUCGCAGGGGCCAGAGCCACAGUCGGGGCUGGCAGCGAGGCAGUCAGGCCAGGCCAUUCAAGCGACCACCCACACAUCUGGGCCAGAGACACAGCCAGAGCAUCCUCGCCGCCUGCGCAGUGUCAAAUAGACAGGAAAAACAGCAAGAGCAACAGCAACAGCGGACGAGAGCUGCGUGGAGUCGGUGAGUUGGAGGCUGGCAUAUUCCAGCGAAUAAAUAUUAUCAUAUGGAAAUUUCCUUUCAGAGCAAUUACGAAUGCUGCCACAGCCACAGUCAGGGCCCCAGCGUUUCUUGUGGCAAGUGACCUGCGAGACGUCAAAUGCAGCGCACAGGAAAUCGAAGUCGCAACUCGACGGGUUUGACGAUGAUGUAGCACCACCAGCUUUAUGCACUGUCUCUCUGCCUCUCCUUUCAGCCAUUCAUAGAGAUCCCAGCGUGUCGCAGUCGUAGAAAGUUUUACUGUGUCUCCCCCUCCCCCUCCUCGUCGGUUGGUGUGUUUGUUCAAGGCAGUCUCCACUGUUACUGCUCUUUGCUCUGCGUACCUGUUGGAGCUGCGUUUUUCGGGGAGCAGCAGCAGCAACUGAAAUUGCCAAUUGUUGUGCUUCGAUGGCAGUGGCAGGCUACUGUUUGGGCUGCCACACACCUUGCAGCUGGAACGGAAGCGAGGCAUCUUAGAGAUCAGCGAGGCUCUGCCUGCUGGCUCUUGUGUGUUGCCACUUUCGGCGCUGGCUCUGCCUUUUUAAGCCAUUUUAAUAUGAGCGUUGCACAUCUUGGCUGUGGGUGUGGCUGAUUGGGCAAGCCGAACCAAACGAAACGAAACCAACAAAAAAAAUGGAUGAGAAGAGGCUCGCUCCGUCUGCGCUGGGCCAGGCCAGGCCAGGCCCAAUGAUCAAUCUUGGCCAUGGCAACGUUUUACGAUGACGAUGACGAUGAUGAUGAUGAUGACGACGUGGACUUUGUUUGCCGGCGAUGGCUUUGAUUGCUGCAGCAGCAGCAGCAGCCUCUCAGCCAUUUGCCAGCUUUUGCUACUGGUUUUUCUCCGAAGCCUCACUUAAGUGGGCGUGUGGGCAUUUUUGUUAGAAAAUGUUUGGCCCGAUCCGCAGGAAGCGAUCUGUUUGGCUUAUGGAAAUGCUGCCAACAGGCAAGCGAAAUGUUUCAAUUAUUAGUAUUUUUAGUCGGCAAUUAAAGGGAACACCUGCAGGGGGGGAUCAUUUUACACAGAAAUUGUACUCAGCAC
RNAcentral lists this long non-coding RNA (1570 nucleotides) under Drosophila guanche. Lineage: Eukaryota; Metazoa; Arthropoda; Insecta; Diptera; Drosophilidae. The record is from RNAcentral.